CUUAGUGGUUGCAGUUGGCGCUGUCUCCGCUUUCCUGUUGCGUGGCGGGCGUCUUGGCCAAAACACUCUCCCUGCCACCUUAUUCCUCUAGGGUUGUGAUUUUUUUCUUUCACCAAGAAAUAUCACUCGCUGGUAAUUUGUCAAACUGAAGAAACCCCUGAAGAAGUAGUGGUGGGCAGGCGCCGACGCUGCGGCUUCCAGAGCAUUUUGGCAAAUCAAAGCCAGGGACCGUUGCUGGGCGACAUUUCCGCAACUUUUCGGCUCCGAACUGCUGAGCAACUACAGCGAGCCCUAGAUUUUCGAAACUCUUCAGCUACUUGCCCUUUUUUAUCUGAAACCAUCAUACCUUCUGAAAGAAAAAAGCAUAUCUUCAUUGACAUAACAGAAGUGAGAUGGCCCAGUCUUGAUACAGAUGGUACCAUGAUAUAUAUGGAGAGUGGCAUUGUGAAGAUAACAUCUUUAGAUGGUCAUGCAUACCUCUGCCUGCCCAGAUCUCAGCAUGAAUUUACAGUACAUUUUUUGUGUAAAGUUAGCCAGAAGUCAGACUCAUCUGCAGUGUCGUCAGAAACAAAUAAUAAAGCCUCAAAAGAUAAACUAGUUGAAAAAACUGGCAAAAUCUGUAUACGUGGAAAUUUACCAGGACAGAGACUGAAGAAUAAAGAAAAUGAGUUUCAUUGCCAGAUCAUGAAAUCCAAAGAAACUUUAAAGAAGAUGAGUUGUGUAAAUGGAACUGAAGGGAGGGAAGAGCUGCCUUCGCCUGGUACAAAGCACACAUGUGUAUACACAUGGGUCAAGCAGUGCUGGUCUGUGGCCGCCUGUCCAGAGGAAUGGAAAUAUCCUUUGUCUUUAGCACUUCAUUUUCAUAAUAAAAUCAGCAAUAUGUCUAAAAUUGAUGCACAUAUAACUCAGAGUAGAUUUUUAACUUCUGAUAUUUCAGAGGAAAGAGGAAAAGUGGUUUCUGUUCUUCCCAGGGCCCUGUCACUCAGCUGUCCAGUCCCACACCUACACAGGUAAUGCAGUAAUGGCUAUUGGUCAUGAAGCUUUUAUCAGAACCAGUCUUAACCUGGAUAAUUUUCUUUUUAUCUGAUACCAUUCACAAGGAAAGUUUAUCUCAUCCAAAAUUUUGCUUUUAACUGAUAGUAAAUAAUUUCCCUAGCAAAUGUGUUGCUUAUGUUUUUUACUCUGUGUCCAUGCAUUGAAUGUACAA
RNAcentral lists this small RNA (1207 nucleotides) under Pan troglodytes (chimpanzee). Its description in RNAcentral is "retained intron". Lineage: Eukaryota; Metazoa; Chordata; Mammalia; Primates; Hominidae. The record is from RNAcentral.